This 495-nucleotide ribosomal RNA is filed under the name uncultured bacterium. RNAcentral describes it as "partial 16S ribosomal RNA". It matches the Rfam family "Bacterial small subunit ribosomal RNA", at positions 28 to 507 of the family's 1533-position model. The record is from RNAcentral.
GACGAACGCUGGCGGCGUGCCUAAUACAUGCAAGUAGAACGCUGAAGGAGGAGCUUGCUUCUCCGGAUGAGUUGCGAACGGGUGAGUAACGCGUAGGUAACCUGCCUGGUAGCGGGGGAUAACUAUUGGAAACGAUAGCUAAUACCGCAUAAUAGUAGAUGUUGCAUGACAUUUGCUAAAAAUGUGCAAUUGCAUCACUACCAGAUGGACCUGCGUUGUAUUAGCUAGUUGGUGAGGUAACGGCUCACCAAGGCGACGAUACAUAGCCGACCUGAGAGGGUGAUCGGCCACACUGGGACUGGGACACGGCCCAGACUCCUACGGGAGGCAGCAGUAGGGAAUCUUCGGCAAUGGACGGAAGUCUGACCGAGCAACGCCGCGUGAGUGAAGAAGGUUUUCGGAUCGUAAAGCUCUGUUGUAAGAGAAGAACGAGUGUGAGAGUGGAAAGUUCACACUGUGACGGUAUCUUACCAGAAAGGGACGGCUAACUACGUG